This 410-nucleotide ribosomal RNA is filed under the name uncultured marine bacterium. RNAcentral describes it as "bacterial SSU rRNA". It matches the Rfam family "Bacterial small subunit ribosomal RNA", at positions 962 to 1371 of the family's 1533-position model. The record is from RNAcentral.
CGAAGAACCUUACCAAGGCUUGACAUAUACGAGAACGCUGCAGAAAUGUAGAACUCUUUGGACAUUCGUAAACAGGUGGUGCAUGGUUGUCGUCAGCUCGUGUCGUGAGAUGUUGGGUUAAGUCCCGCAACGAGCGCAACCCUCGUUCUAUGUUGCCAGCACGUAAUGGUGGGAACUCAUGGGAUACUGCCGGGGUCAACUCGGAGGAAGGUGGGGAUGACGUCAAAUCAUCAUGCCCCUUAUGUCUUGGGCUUCACGCAUGCUACAAUGGCCGGUACAAAGGGCUGCAAUACCGUAAGGUGGAGCGAAUCCCAAAAAGCCGGUCCCAGUUCGGAUUGAGGUCUGCAACUCGACCUCAUGAAGUCGGAGUCGCUAGUAACCGCAGAUCAGCAACGCUGCGGUGAAUACGU